This 543-nucleotide ribosomal RNA is filed under the name uncultured bacterium. RNAcentral describes it as "bacterial SSU rRNA". It matches the Rfam family "Bacterial small subunit ribosomal RNA", at positions 777 to 1319 of the family's 1533-position model. The record is from RNAcentral.
AAUAGAUACCCUGGUAGUCCUAGCAGUAAACGGUGCACGUUUGGUGUGGGCAGGUUCAGACCCUGUCCGUGCCGGAGCUAACGCGUUAAACGUGCCGCCUGGGAAGUACGGUCGCAAGAUUAAAACUCAAAGAAAUUGACGGGGGCCCGCACAAGCGGUGGAGUAUGUGGCUUAAUUCGAUGCAACGCGAAGAACCUUACCUGGUCUUGACAUGCAUUGUGUCCCCGGUGAAAGCCGGGUAGUUGGUAGCAAUACCAACACUUUGCACAGGUGCUGCAUGGCUGUCGUCAGCUCGUGUCGUGAGAUGUUGGGUUAAGUCCCGCAACGAGCGCAACCCUGUGUCCAGUUGCCCGCAAGGGAUCUCUGGACAGACUGCCCUGUGAAACGGGGAGGAAGGUGGGGAUGACGUCAAGUCAGUAUGGCCCUUACGGGCCAGGGCCGCACACGUACUACAAUGCCCAGUACAGAAUGAACCGAAUCCGCAAGGUGGAGGAAAUCCUCAAAAACUGGGCCAGUUCGGAUUGGAGGCUGCAACUCGCCUCC